Molecule: ribosomal RNA, 440 nt
Filed under: uncultured bacterium
Lineage: Bacteria
Description: partial 16S ribosomal RNA
Rfam family: Bacterial small subunit ribosomal RNA
Source: RNAcentral
CCUACGGGAGGCAGCAGUGGGGAAUAUUGCACAAUGGGGGAAACCCUGAUGCAGCGACGCCGCGUGAGUGAAGAAGUAUUUCGGUAUGUAAAGCUCUAUCAGCAGGGAAGAAAAUGACGGUACCUGAUUAAGAAGCCCCGGCUAACUACGUGCCAGCAGCCGCGGUUAUACGUAUGGGGCAGGCGUUAUCCGGAUUUACUGGGGGUAAAGGGAGCGUAGACGGCAGCACAAGUCUGGAGGGAAAUGCCGGGGCUUAACCCCGGAACUGCUUUGGAAACUGUGCAGCUAGAGUGCAGGAGAGGUAAGUGGAAUUCGUAGUGUAGCGGUGAAAUGCGUAGAUAUUAGGAGGAACACCAGUGGCGAAGGCGGCUUACUGGACUGUAACUGACGUUGAGGCACGAAAGCGUGGGGAGCAAACAGGAUUAGAUACCCUAGUAGUC